UUGUUCUUCGUUUGCCUGCAGGAAACAGACCUUCGUGGUCAGGUUGAUCGUGCUCCGGCGUGGUCAAUAACCUCUCGGAGUUGGUUUAGCGAUUGCUAAGGCGCGACGUCCUCGCACGUUCGUAGUCGGAUCGUCAAAGUCGACUUCAUCCAAAACGAUAGCCACCAUCUAAUCGAAAGACGGGACACCUUUGCCUCUAUCAAGUGGUAUCAAAUUUCCAGGUUGCUCGGUGAGAUUUUACAGUUUUUCGUAGUUUAGACCGAGUCUGUUCUUCAUACCUAUAGUCCACGAAAAAGCCAAAAAAAAUUAAAGGUUAGUUCAUCCUAUCCGAACCAAUCUGAGCCUUUGCAUAAUCUUUUCUGUGUUUGCUUUGUUGAAUUUGCGGUUGCAUUGUCGUGUCAAGUUGCUGGUCUUAGCGUCUAGUCCUUUAGAGUUUCGAGUUCUGUUCACAGGUUGUCACGUCGCCGCUGCCAUAUAUCACCACCGCAUCAUCAUCCUCGCUGCUGCCAUAUACCACCACCGCACCAACUUCAUCGCCGCUGCCAUAUACCAGCACCACAUAUUCACCGCCAAUCCGAGUCCAUAUACGCCACCACAUAUCCGCCGCCAUCACGCCAAUCCGAGUACACCUGCAACAUAUAUCCGCUACCAGUCCGAGUUCCACCAGAUUCAUCUCCACCACCAGUCCGAGUUCCACCAGAUUCAUCUCCGCCACCAGUCCUAGUCCAAGUCCAGUAUUUUGUUACUCUGUUUUGGAUUUCCAGAUCACGCCAUACUCCGAGUCGUGACAGAGAAGGACUCCCAAACUUCUGUGUUACCCGCAGUAGAAAAAUAGUUCCAGUUUCAAAAAAAAACUAAGUCUGGAAAAUUCUGGCUAGGCAGUUUUUAGACCAUUUGUAGACUUUUUUGAAAAAAAAUUGUUGCGGAGCAAAAAAAAGAGGAAAAAAGUGAAAAAAAGAGAAAAAAAAUUCAGAGUGUGCUCCUCCCUUGUUUACGUGCAGCGCCGUGAUUUUGUUAGUGUUCUAGGCUCGCGUCUCUAGCUCGGUCUAGCCUAGGACCAGCAUAGUACCGUCGUUGAGCGUUUAUUCAACUUUGCAUAUCUGAAUUGAUUAUUGCUGACCCUUUUUGCUCCCAUAUUAUAAGCCUUCCCAGCUCCACCUACAUCUACGUCAUGCGUUUGACUCUCCCUGGUAAUCGCUCUAUCCAAGCUUUGAGAGUUUUGACUACAACGGUUGCCGAUCACCACCUGCUGCUGGGUAAGAACUGGUAAGAAUUUGAGAUUCGCUUGAAGGAUUUGUGACACACCACCAUCACCACCACUUCCUAGUAGUCUGUAGGAUCAUAUUCUUUUGUGUUUCUAUUGCUGCUAACCAUGGCAGGAUCACAAGCCGAUGAGACUGAUUGGGAGAACAUGACGAACAAGGAGUUGCAUGAUAAAUUUCAGCAAAUGAUGAGUGGCCAGGUGGCAGAUGUGCUAAACAGAUUUGAAGAGGCUAUGGAGAGGAUAGAUGCCGUGGAGAAGUCGUUCGAGACAAAGCUGGAUAACAAGUUUAAUGAAUUGCUCAAGCGUCUUCCCCAACCACCACCGGCUGCACCUGUCGCACCUCUACAACAACAACAACCACAUCUCCAACGCCGCCUUCCAAAUCAAGUGGGACGAGCACAACGCGUUCCAAUUGAGACUGGUCAAAAUUCGGGUGUCGCUGCACCUACUGUUGAUGCUUCUUUGGCUCCUGCUACUGCGGCGGCUGAGGAGGAUGACGAUUAUGCGAGCGAUUAUGAGGAUGAGGUUGAUCAAAAUUAGAACUACAUGCAGCCACCAGCACCACCACCAGCAGGUCGACCUCAGGUAUAUAUUCGCAACGGUAGGCCUGCACCACCACCUCAGGUACGAGGUCAUGACCAUGUUCCUAAACUGAAAUUGAAUAUUCCACCGUUUGAGGGUAGAUACAUUCCUGAUGUAUACCUUACUUGGGAGUUAGAAACUGAACAACGUUUUACAUGUUUACAAUAUCCCGAGGAGAGACGGGUUGCUGCUGCUGCUGUUUGUGCUUUCACUAGUUUUGCAUGUGUAUGGUGGUCUGAACAUUGUAGAUUAUAUCCUAUUCCAGCUACUUGGGCUGCUUUGAAGACUGCUAUGCGUACUCGUUGGGUUCCACCAUAUUAUCAACGUGAAUUGCUUCAAAAACUGCAGCGUUUACGACAAGGGAAAAAUUCUGUAGAAGAAUAUUAUCAGGAAUUACAAACUGGCAUGAUUAGAUGUGGUAUUGUUGAGGAGAAUGAAGCUAUGCUUGCACGUUUUAUGGGUGGAUUAAAUAGAGAGAUUCAGACCAUUCUAGAGUAUAAGGAUUAUAAUAAUAUCACUCGUUUAUUCCAUCUUGCUUGUAAAGCUGAACGUGAAGUGCAGGAUCGACAAGCAUUGGCGCGAACUAACUUUUCUGUAGGUCGACCUUCAUCAUGGACACCGCGUGCAUCUUCUACUUCCACUACACCAGCACCUCCAUCAGGUUCCACCUCCAGCCGUGAUACAAGAAAGCAGGCACAACCGCCACUAUCUGCCAAGAGCGCACCUGCCGGGCCUGCACAGAGCUCUUCUUCUUCCAUGGCGUUAACAGGGCACACAAGUGAUAUUAUUUGUCGUCGUUGUAAGGGAAGAGGACAUUUUGCGAGAGAAUGCAAAUCUCAGCGUGUGAUGAUUGCUACUGAGGAUGGUGGGUAUGAGUCCGCUAAUGACUAUGAUGAGGAGACUUUGGCUCUUAUUACACAUGAAGAACACGGUGGAGAUGAUUCUGAUCAUGAGACGCAAUACAUGGCUGCUGAAGAUGCUGACAGGUAUGAAUGUUUAGUUGCUCAACGUGUUUUGAGUGUGCAGGUUACACAAGCUGAGCAAAAUCAGAGGCAUAAUUUGUUCCAUACAAAGGGAGUUGUGAAGGAACGUUCUAUUCGCGUCAUCAUAGAUGGAGGGAGUUGCAACAACUUGGCUAGCAUGGAGAUGGUGGAGAAGCUAUCUCUCACCACAAGACCACAUCCACAUCCUUACUACAUCCAAUGGUUCAACAACAGCGGCAAGGUUAAGGUAACACGUACUGUUCGGGUGCAUUUUAGUAUCUCUACAUAUGCUGAUUAUGUUGAUUCUGAUGUGGUACCUACGCAAGCAUGUUCCUUAUUACUUGGUAGACCAUGGCAAUUCGAUUAAAAUUCUGUACACCAUGGUAGAAACAAUCAGUAUACUCUUGUUCAUAAGGAUACAAAUAUUACUUUGCUUCCUAUGACUCCUGAUUCCAUUUUGAAAGAUGAUAUUCAUAGAGUUAAUAAAGCAAAACAGGAGAAAAAUAAGAGUGAAAAUCAGAUUGUGGCAAAAGAAUUUGAGCAACAAAUGAAGCCUAAUAAUAAACUGAUGCGGAGCAUCCUACGAUCAUCCCCAUGGAUCUACCAUCGUCUCAUCAAGAGCCAAGAGGACCUAUGACACGAGCACGAGCUAGAGCUCUCGAGAACGAGGUGACUUCCUUCCUUAGUGAUAUCACAUAUGAUCCACUCGAGACAUGGCUACUACCUAAGUCCAAUAUGCUAUGCAUGAUUAGGUGUCAAGAGGAGCCUCCCGAGGAUGCACGUGAAGACAGACAAGCCGCCAAGUCCAUGGAUGAAGAGAACCAACGGAAACGGGCAAGUUCACCUUCCAGGCCCCGGACAUCCGGCCAUGACCCCGGACAUCCGGCCCCUGGAGCAUCCACAGCAGCAGCAGGCCAGACGCCCAAGCCUACAGGGCCCGGACAUCCUGCGUCCAGCCCGGACAUCCGGCCCCAGCCCGGAAAUCCGGCCAAAAGCCCGGACAUCCGGCGCCACGCUACAGAACAUCCAGAAGUUUUGCCCUCCAGCCCGGACAUCCGGCCUCUCCUGAAGGCCCGGACAUCCGGCCUCUCCCGAAGCCCCGGACAUCCGGCCACCUCUGUCUGCGCACAGUAAGGGCCGAGGCCCGUGUACCCCUUCGACUCCCUAGACUAUAUAUACUCUUUCUCCUCCAUCUUUCUAGGGUUAGCAUUGGUUUAGCUCAUAUGUGAGAUAGAGCAUUGCUCAUCCAUACGGAUCUCCUCCUCGAGAGAGACAGCGACCCCUCUUCGGAGACGAUCCACGUUGGAUUCAAGACCCCCUCUUGGGUGGCCCCCUUCAAGACCUCCUUUCGGAGAAGAACCGGUUACCUAUGUAUCGUCCCUUGUUGGAUUUGGAUCAUGUAUCUCUUUGUGUUUCGAGGAUCUAGCACAUGUGUGAUUGUUAUUGUUGGUUUGAGUGAUUCUCUCGUGUCUUCCCUCGUGUUUCCCCUCGUGUUCUUCGUGUUCUUAGUUGGGAUCCGCUCCUUUCGUGAAAGAUCGGCUAUAUAGGGUUCCACCCUACAUCAUAAACCAUCUAGUGUUGCUUCUGAAAUUAAAUUGAAAAGUGCAUGUUUACUUGCCACCAAAUCUGAUAUUGAUGAGCUAGUUUUUAGCCAAUCUGUUUGCUAUGCUUUUUGUGUGCAAAGAGGCAUUAUUUUCAUUCGAGGACGUGCCUUCCUCUUUGCCCCCUGCAGUCACUAACAUUUUGCAGGAGUUCGCCGACGUCUUCCCACAAGACGUGCCACCGGGAUUACCACCUAUUCGAGGGAUUGAGCAUCAAAUUGACUUAAUUCUCGGUGCAUCGCUACCCAACCGUGCACCAUACCGUACCAAUCCAGAGGAGACGAAGGAGAUUAUGCGUCAAGUAUAGGAGCUGCUCGACAAAGGUUAUAUUCGCGAAUCCCUUAGUCCUUGUGUUGUUCCUAUUAUUCUAGUGCCGAAAAAGGAUGGUACGUCGCGUAUGUGUGUUGAUUGUAGAGGCAUUAAUAAUAUUACUAUUCGUUAUCGUCAUCCUAUUCCUAGGCUAGAUGAUAUGCUUGAUGAAUUGAGUGCCUCUACAAUAUUCUCCAAAGUUGAUUUGCGUAGUGGAUACCAUCAAAUUCGUAUGAAAUUGGGAGAUGAAUGGAAAACAUCAUUUAAAACUAAGUUUGGCUUAUAUGAGUGGUUAGUCAUCCCUUUUGGGUUAACUAAUGCACCUAGUACUUUCAUGAGACUAAUGAACGAAGUUUUACGUGCUUUCAUUGGACGAUUUGUGGUAGUCUAUUUUGAUGAUAUACUGAUUUAUAGCAAAUCUUUGGAAGAACAUUUGGAACAUUUACGUGAUGUUUUUAUUGCUCUACGUGAUGCACGUUUGUUUGGUAACCUUGGGAAGUGCACCUUUUGCACCGACCGAGUAUCUUUUCUUGGCUAUGUUGUUACUCCACAGGGAAUUGAAGUUGAUAAAGCCAAGAUUGAAGCUAUUGAGAGUUGGCCGCAGCCCAAAACGGUCACACAAGUGCGGAGUUUUCUUGGACUCGCUGGUUUCUAUAGGCGUUUUGUGAGAGAUUUUAGCACCAUUGCUGCACCUCUGAACGAGCUUACAAAGAAGGAUGUGCCUUUUGUUUGGGGUACCGCACAGGAAGAAGCCUUCACGGUAUUGAAAGAUAAGUUGACACAUGCUCCUUUACUCCAACUUCCUGAUUUUAAUAAGACUUUUGAGCUUGAAUGUGAUGCUAGUGGAAUUGGAUUAGGAGGUGUGUUAUUACAAGAUGGCAAACCUGUUGCAUACUUUUCUGAAAAAUUGAGUGGGCCUAGUCUGAACUAUUCUACUUAUGAUAAAGAAUUAUAUGCUCUUGUUCGGACUUUAGAAACAUGGCAACAUUAUUUAUGGCCCAAAGAAUUUGUUAUACAUUCUGAUCAUGAAUCUUUGAAACACAUUAAAAGUCAAGCAAAACUGAACUAUAGACAUGCUAAAUGGGUAAAGAAAAUAUUAUUGCUGAUGCAUUAAACACAAGAAGGGUAAAGAAAAUGUUAUUGCUGAUGCAUUGUCUCGUCGUUAUACUAUGCUUUCACAACUUGACUUUAAAAUAUUUGGUUUGGAGACCAUCAAAGAUCAAUAUGUGCAUGAUGCUGAAUUUAAAGAUGUAUUGCAGAAUUGUAAAGAAGGUAGAACAUGGAACAAGUUCGUCGUUAAUGAUGGAUUUGUGUUUCGUGCUAACAAGCUAUGCAUUCCAGCUAGCUCCGUUCGUCUUUUGUUGUUGAAGGAGGCGCAUGGAGGAGGACUAAUGGGACACUUUGGCGUGAAGAAGACGGAGGAUAUACUUGCUACAUAUUUCUUUUGGCCAAAGAUGAGACGGGAUGUUGAGCGUUUUGUUGCUCGCUGCACUACAUGUCAAAAAGCUAAGUCAUGACUCAAUCCUCAUGGUUUAUAUAUGCCUUUGCCUGUACCUAGUGUUCCUUGGGAGGAUAUAUCUAUGGACUUUGUUUUAGGUUUACCUCGAACAAAGAAGGGGAGGGAUAGCAUAUUUGUUGUCGUGGAUAGAUUGUCGAAAAUGGCACACUUUAUACCAUGUCAUAAAAGCGAUGAUGCUGUUAAUGUUGCUGAUUUGUUCUUUCGUGAAAUUAUUCGCUUGCAUGGUGUGCCAAAUACUAUUGUUUCAGAUCGUGAUACUAAAUUUCUUAGCCACUUUUGGAGAUGUUUAUGGGCUAAGUUGGGGACUAAACUGCUUUUUAGUACUACUUGUCACCCCCAAACUGAUGGACAAACUGAAGUAGUCAUAGAACAUUGUCUACUAUGCUUAGGGCUGUUUUGAAGAAUAAUAAGAAAAUGUGGGAAGAAUGCUUGCCUCAUAUUGAAUUUGCUUAUAAUCGUUCAUUGCAUUCUACUACUAAGAUGUGCCCUUUUGAAAUUGUGUAUGGUUUCCUACCUCGUGCACCAAUUGAUUUGUUGCCUCUUCCAUCUUCGGAGAAGGUUAAUUUUGAUGCUAAAGAACGUGCUGAAUUGAUUUUAAAAAUGCAUGAGUUAACUAAGGAAAACAUUGAGCGUAUGAAUGCUAAAUAUAAACUUGCUGGAGAUAAGGGUAGAAAACAUGUUGUGUUUGCACCUGGAGAUCUUGUUUGGUUACAUUUGCGUAAGGAUAGAUUUCCUAAUUUGCGCAAAUCAAAGCUAAUGCCACGUGCUGAUGGUCCUUUUAAGGUGUUAGAGAAAAUAAAUGAUAAUGCAUAUAAACUUGAGCUACCUGCAGAUUUUGGGGUUAGUCCCACUUUUAACAUUGCAGAUUUGAAGCCUUAUUUGGGUGAGGAAGAUGAGCUUCCGUCGAGCAUGACUUCAUUUCAAGAAGGGGAGGAUGAUGAGGACAUCAAUACCAUUGUUACACCCACAGCCCCUACUGUUACAUAUAAUGGACCAAUUACUAGAGCUCGCGCACGCCAAUUAAAUUACCAGGUACUUUCGUUUCUUGGUAAUGAUUCUAAUGUUCAUGAGAAUAUGAUGCUGCCUAAAUUGGAUACUUUUGUUUUGCUUACAAAUGAAGGGCCUAGCUUGGAGAAGGAUGAACAUUGGAGCAAGAACAAACAUGGAGUUGAUGGCAUGCGCAAGGGGAACAAGAACGGAGUUACAAGUGAUGAUUUCAGGACUUUGAAGCCACCAUAAGGAGUGAAUGAAGCCUUGGACGAAAUAUACAAGAUGCCACUUCAUAAAUUUCGUCCAGAGGCUAUUCUAGGUGCUGCGUCACCUUAUUAUUGGGCCAGGCCCAUGUAAUUUCAAAAUACAUAAGUAUAGGCUAUUUUUAGAGUCCGUAUGUGUGGGGAAACAAGAGAUAGGGUUGGUUUCGGACCCCUUCCCCAAGGGCCACGAAAUUCCCCCCCUCUUCCUCCAUAGAUACAGCCCUUAGGGCACCGUUUAGACUUUGGGUUUUGUUUAGAUUAAAAGUUCGCCAUAGCUGCAACUUCGCAUACUUCGUUUGUGUUCAACGACCAGACAAAGGCGUCACAGAACCCCACCUUGAUCAAUAAAGCUUUCCUCUUAUAUUCGCAAUAUCCAGAUUGCAAACUUAGUUUCUUGCUUGUUCUUCGUUUGCCUGCAGGAAACAGACCUUCGUGGUCAGGUUGAUCGUGCUCCGGCGUGGUCAAUAACCUCUCGGAGUUGGUUUAGCGAUUGCUAAGGCGCGACGUCCUUGCACGUUCGUAGUCGGAUCGUCAAAGUCGACUUCCUCCAAAACGAUAGCCACCAUCUCAUCGAAAGACGGGACACCUUUGCCUCUAUCAGCUGUUGUUGAACCAUUGGAUGUAGUAAGGAUGUGGAUGUGGUCUUGUUGUGAGAGAUAGCUUCUCCACCAUCUCCAUGCUAGCCAAGUUGUUGCUGCUCCCUCCAUCUAUGAUGACGCGAACAAAACGUUCCUUUACAACUCCCUUUGUAUGGAACAAAUUAUGCCUCUGAUUUUGCUCAGCUUUUGUAACCUGCACACUCAAAACACGUUGAUGAUAAGGACAUGGCUACCACAGUUACACCCGUAUCCCCUACUGUUUUACCUCUUGGAACAGUUGCUAGAGCUCAGAUACGCCAAUUAAAUUAUCAGGUACUUCCGUUUCUUGGUAAUGUUUCUAGUGUUCAUGAGAAUAUGAUGCUGCCUAACUUAGAUACAUUUGUGUUGCUUGCAAUUGAAGGGCCUAGCACGGACAAGAAGGUUGAACAUUGGAGCAUGGUCAAGCACGGAGAUGAAGGUGCGUGCGAAGAGAAUAAGAACGGAGGUUCAAGUGGAGAUUUCCGGACUUUGAAGCCACCAUGAUGACAUACAAGAUGAUGGACGAAAUAUACAAGAUGGCCUUUCAUAAAUUUCAUCCAUAGCUUAUUAUUGGUGUUGCGCCACCUUAUUUUGGGCCAGGCCCAUGUAAUCUAUUUUUAGAGUCCAUAUUGUAGGGAAAAUGACUUAGGAGGUGUUUUAGUCCCACCUUGCCAAGGGUGGACAAAGUCCCCUCUCUUUUCCCUACAAAUAUAGCCCUUAAGGCAUCAUUUAGACUGGGGUUUUAUUUAGUUAAAAGUUAGCCAUCGGUGCAACUUCGUGUACUUCAGUUGUGUCCAACGACCAGACCAAGUCCGCUUAUGAAACCCCACUUUUAUCAAUACUUCAUCCAUAUUCGCAAUAUUCAGAUUGCUUAAUCAUAUUCUUGCUUGUUCUUCGAUUGCUUGCAGGAAUAGACCUUCGUGGUCAGGUUGAUCGUGCUCCGGCGUGGUCGAUAACCUCUCGAAUUUGGUUUAGCGAUUGCUAAGGCGCAACGUCGUGCACGUUUGUAGUCGGAUCGUCAAAGUCGGCUCCACCAAAUCGAUAGUUAUCAUCUCAUCGAAAGAUCGGGACCCUCGCCUCUAUCAAGUGGUAUCAGUUUUCAGGUUGCUCGGUGAGAUUUUCCAGUUUUUCAGUCUUAGACUGCAUCUGUUCUUCAUACCUAUAGUCCAAGAAAAAGCCACAAAAAAGUUAGAUUAGUCCAUCCGUGUCCCAGUCAGUCUGAGCCUUUUCACCAUUGCCACUUAGUUUUUUUUGCAUUGUUGAAUUUUCGGUUGCAUCGUGUGUCGAGUUGCUGGUUUUGGUAUCUAGUCUUUUAGAGUUUCAAGUUCUAGUCACGUUUUGUUCACGCCGCAUCCACAUGCACGAUCAUCCACCUCAUUGUCAUAUUCCGCUGCCAUUUAUUUUUCCAUCCCCGUUGUCACCUCCAUCCGCAAUUGUCGUAAGUCGUCAUCUUCUCGAUCUGUUUCACCGCCAUAAUUCUUGUCGCAUCCACCGAGCAGAAGUGGCGUUUUGUUAUUGUCAGGAAAGAUUGCGUUAUUGGUUGCACGUAAAGUUUUCUUGGAACGCAAAGAGAUACAGAAACAGGGAGCAGCCAACGUUGAUCAUCACGUUUUGGAAAGAAGAAAGAGAAACGAAGUGGAGAUUAGGCAUUGGAUUUGUUGUUGGCUGAUUCAUUUCUUGUACAAGAAAGGCUACAUAGCAGAUUCGGUAUUUGGACACUAAGGGAAAAAAUAGCAGAAGAAAAAAAAGGGCAGAUUGGGUUUGGGUUCCAAGGAAAGGUGUACGUGGGGUGGAGUCCUAGCAAUUCACGCUUGCUGGUUUUUUCGUUGGACCGGUCCACCAUGAUAGAAAAAGAAAGGCAAGUCAGAUCAGCCUACUUAUAAAAAAAAGGGGGUUCGGCCACAUCCUUCUUGUGAUCUUGUUGCGAUUGAUUUUGGUGGACUCAGUUUUGGCUAGUUCUGAUCGAUCAAAAAAAAGAGAGAGAUAGUUGCCACGUUUGGAUAUUGAAGGAAAAAAAAAUCAUGAUUAGCCGUGCAUGCAUGUAUGUUUGGAAAGAGAGAUAAGGAAAGAGAUCGAAUCAGCUAGAAAAAAAAGCGGAGCAGAUUGGUUGGAUCUGGGACGUGAUUCCCUCCCACGUUGGUUGUUUAACUUUGGAAAGAAAUAAAAAUAAAAGAAAGAAAGAGCUGAUCGGUUUGGAAAGGAUCUUGAAAAAAAAACAGCUUCCUUACGGGAGACGUGGAGAGCGCGGCAAGGGAUAGAAAAGACAAACAUUUAGUCCGAUUGGUAGUAACUUUGGAUUGACUCCUACGUGCAGUUUUUUUUGGGAACGUCUUGGAUCGGUACUAAAAGGAAACAAAUAAAUAUCAGAUGCGUUUGUUCUUCGGUUGAAAAAAAAGUUCGCGGAAUAAAAGGAACAGAGAGAGAAAAACGGAAGGAACUAGUAAGGAAAGUUUUGAACAAAAAGAAAAAAGAAGAAAAAACACAGCUCGGCUGGCAUUUUUGGAAGUAAUCCCGCAUGAGUUAUUUGCUUUUGGGAAGGAUAUAAAUCUUUAAAAAGAAUUCUACGCGUCAAUCAAGGAGAGCUGGUUGUCAUGUUUGGAAUUUGGAAGAUAGAGGGGGCGUUUCCAAAGAGUAGAUAUUUUGGUCCGGUUGUUGCCUUGCUGGGAUUGUUUUCCUUUGGAAACCGUGAGUAGUGCUUUGAAAAAAAAUAGUGAGAGCGAAAUACAAGGAAAGGAAGGUACGCACAUUAUCUUUAACCAGUGAACAUAAGGCAAAAAAAAGAGCAGCAUGUGGAGUAGCGUGACUAGUGCUUUUAACUAGUACUUGUGACAUUUAUCUGGUCAAGGAGAAAAAAAAGGAGAG
RNAcentral lists this long non-coding RNA (10990 nucleotides) under Triticum aestivum (bread wheat). Its description in RNAcentral is "long non-coding RNA (TAES_LNC013311)". The record is from RNAcentral. Lineage: Eukaryota; Viridiplantae; Streptophyta; Magnoliopsida; Poales; Poaceae.